ACACAUGCAAGUCGAGCGGAGAUGAGGUGCUUGCACCUUAUCUUAGCGGCGGACGGGUGAGUAAUGCUUAGGAAUCUGCCUAUUAGUGGGGGACAACAUUCCGAAAGGAAUGCUAAUACCGCAUACGUCCUACGGGAGAAAGCAGGGGAUCUUCGGACCUUGCGCUAAUAGAUGAGCCUAAGUCGGAUUAGCUAGUUGGUGGGGUAAAGGCCUACCAAGGCGACGAUCUGUAGCGGGUCUGAGAGGAUGAUCCGCCACACUGGGACUGAGACNCGGCCCANACUCCUACGGGAGGCAGCAGUGGGGAAUAUUGGACAAUGGGGGGAACCCUGAUCCAGCCAUGCCGCGUGUGUGAAGAAGGCCUUAUGGUUGUAAAGCACUUUAAGCGAGGAGGAGGCUACUGAGACUAAUACUCUUGGAUAGUGGACGUUACUCGCAGAAUAAGCACCGGCUAACUCUGUGCCAGCA
This 468-nucleotide ribosomal RNA is filed under the name uncultured bacterium. RNAcentral describes it as "bacterial SSU rRNA". It matches the Rfam family "Bacterial small subunit ribosomal RNA", at positions 51 to 513 of the family's 1533-position model. The record is from RNAcentral.